Molecule: ribosomal RNA, 253 nt
Filed under: uncultured bacterium
Lineage: Bacteria
Description: partial 16S ribosomal RNA
Rfam family: Bacterial small subunit ribosomal RNA
Source: RNAcentral
UACGAAGGGGGCGAGCGUUGUUCGGAAUUACUGGGCGUAAAGGGCGCGUAGGCGGCGACCCAAGUCAGAUGUGAAAGUCCUGGGCUUAACCUGGGGACUGCAUUUGAUACUGGGUUGCUUGAAUUCGGGAGAGGAUAGCGGAAUUCCCAGUGUAGAGGUGAAAUGCGUAGAGAUCGGGAGGAACACCGGCGGCGAAGGCGGCUGCCUGGACCGGCCCUGACGCUGAGGCGCGAAAGCUAGGGGAGCAAACAGG